RNAcentral lists this long non-coding RNA (1044 nucleotides) under Taeniopygia guttata (zebra finch). RNAcentral's name for it is "lncRNA (ENSTGUG00000018894.1)". The record is from RNAcentral. Lineage: Eukaryota; Metazoa; Chordata; Aves; Passeriformes; Estrildidae.
AUGGAGAUGCCAUCCCAUCCCAUCCCAUCCCCAUCCCCAGCCCCAUCCCCACCCCAUUCCCGGGCAGCCCCGGGCACACUCCGGUACCUCCAGUCCCUUCCCGCUCCGAGCCCGCCUGCCCAGCUGAGCCGCAUCCUCCUCCCGGGAAUUCCAGGGCAUCGACUGCGACUCCUGUGGGACAGACGCGGGUGUGGGAGCCCCCAUUCCCCAACCCCGCAUUCCCAUAUUCCCGCAUUCCCGCAUUCCCGCAUCCCGGCUCACCUCGCUCAGCACGGAGAAGCAGCCGGAGCAGGGUCUGUGUGGCCGCCACCGGCCCUGUGGAGGGAAGGCUGGGAUGGGGACCGGGAUCUCCCGGAGCACAGGGCGGGAAUGCGGGUAGGACUGGCAGGUGAUGGGAAUGACGGGGAGCCCCAUCCUGCCGUGCCCUCCCCGGGAUUUUCCGCGGCUGCGGGGGCUGCGGCCCGGGAAUGCCGAGCCCAUCCCGGCAGGGACAGGGAGGCUGGAAAAGCCACAGCCCGGGAUUUGUCUUGGUGUGGGGCCAGCCCCGAGGAGCGGACAGGGGGCAGGCCAUGCCAAGCUCUGUCAUUCCAUCCCCGUUAUUCCCAUUUUUACCCCUCUCCACGCACAACCGACCUCUCUCCUCCCCGCCGCCAUCCCGGAGUCGCCGUGGUCAGCUCCGGCCACUCCGGCCACGGCCACGGCCACGGCGCAGAGCAGCAACAGCCUCAUGGUGCCACCGCGGCUGUCCCGGGACUGCGGCCACUGCCCUGCCUGGACAUUGGCCCCGAUGUCACCAUGGUGACCCUGGAAAGGUCACUCGCAGCCGGAGCUGCCGGACACAGGGAGAGCAAAGGGCUGGCUCUGGAUAAGGGAUGGGCUGGAGGAAACUUAUCCCCAAAACUCUGUCCUAGGGGUCCUGCUCUUCCUGCGGCCCUCUCAAGGAGUCCUGGAAUGCUGGCAUGGCCUGGGCUGAGAGGGGAUUUAAGGAUCAUCCCGUCUGCUUGCCAACAGCAAUUCCAGAUUCUGCUUCUGGAACGCUCAUAA